This 200-nucleotide long non-coding RNA is filed under the name Elaeis guineensis (African oil palm). RNAcentral describes it as "long non-coding RNA (EGUI_LNC047366)". The record is from RNAcentral. Lineage: Eukaryota; Viridiplantae; Streptophyta; Magnoliopsida; Arecales; Arecaceae.
UUAAAGAAAAUUAGACAAAAAUUGGUCCAGCCAACUAGUCAUAAAUCCUUCCACUGACUUCAUCAAGUCAUGAAGAGGACUCAAGACAAGUUAAACUAGGGGCACCUAAAUCAGUCAUACUGAUUUUCUAGUUAGCAUAGGUCAACUCCAAUCAUUAAGUGAUCUAACCAAAAUAUGAUUUACCAUGUUGGCCAGAUAAG